GUUGUAUAGUCAAGUAAUUAAGUGCAUGUGGUGGAUGCCUUGGCAGUCAGAGGCGAAGAAAGACGUGAUAGCCUGCGAAAAGCUCCGGGGAGGCGGCAAAUAUCCUGUGAUCCGGAGAUGUCUGAAUGGGGAAACCCACCGGCUAUAAGGUCGGUAUCAUAAACUGAAUACAUAGGUUUAUGAGGCGAACGCGGAGAAGUGAAACAUCUCAGUAUCCGUAGGAAAAGAAAUCAAUUGAGAUUCCCUCAGUAGCGGCGAGCGAAAGGGGAACAGCCCAUUAAGUCAUAUCAGUUUUAGUGGAAUGCUCUGGGAAGUGCAACCAUAGUGGGUGAUAGUCCUGUACACGAAAGGGCUGAUAUGAUGAUGUCGAGUAGGGCGAGGCACGUGAAACCUUGUCUGAAUAUAGGGGGACCAUCCUCUAAGGCUAAAUACUCCUGACUGACCGAUAGUGAACCAGUACCGUGAGGGAAAGGCGAAAAGAACCCCUGUGAGGGGAGUGAAAUAGAUCCUGAAACCGCAUGCAUACAAGCAGUGGGAGCCACUUCGUGUGG
RNAcentral lists this ribosomal RNA (551 nucleotides) under Escherichia coli. RNAcentral's name for it is "partial 23S ribosomal RNA". It matches the Rfam family "Bacterial large subunit ribosomal RNA", at positions 1 to 593 of the family's 2925-position model. The record is from RNAcentral. Lineage: Bacteria; Pseudomonadati; Pseudomonadota; Gammaproteobacteria; Enterobacterales; Enterobacteriaceae.